Molecule: long non-coding RNA, 2768 nt
Organism: Denticeps clupeoides (denticle herring)
Lineage: Eukaryota; Metazoa; Chordata; Actinopteri; Clupeiformes; Denticipitidae
Source: Ensembl
AUGUGGAAUAAAGCGAAACGUUCUCACCAAAUUGCGGCCCCGCAGGACCAUUAUUUGUACAGGAAGCGACAUUUUUAUGAAUUUACUUCGUCAGCGGCCCCUCGGCUGCGUCGGUCCGUUGCCGCGGCAACCAGCUCCCCGUUCUCGCGAGAUUUGGCAGCGCGUCCCAACAUGGCGCCCGGCGCGGCCGUGGACGCGGUGCUGGAGCUGCGGGGCCGGUGCGGGGAGGACGAGGCCCGGAUCGCCGCCAGCGUCCGGCGCUGCAGGCAGCUGCUGCGCGGCAGGGAGACGCGCCUGGUGGAAGCAGCGAGCGCCUCGGAGGAACCGGGCCCGGCGGAGGAUCUUCCUCCUGAGGAGCUCCAAGAUCUCCAUCUGCUGGACCGACUGCUGGAGAAGGCCAUGCGGGUUCGCAGCGGUGUCACCAGGCUGGGCGUGGCCGGUCCUCCAUCCAGGGAGCGGACCCGGGCGGCGACCCUGCAGCCACCUGCAGCUCCGUGUCCUCCAUCCAGCCUCAUCGGUGGACCUUCAUCAGUGGUCAGGAAGUCGUCGUCUUCAGCUGGAGCUGCCACCAGGCUGGGCGUGGCCGGUCCUCCAUCCAGGGAGCAGGUGGCGAAGAUGAACCGAACCCGGGCGAUGACUCUGCAGCCACCUGCAGCUCCGUCUCAUCCAUCCAGCCUCAGCAAUGGACCUUCAUCAGUGAGGAGGACAUUGUCAUCGUCAGCUGGAGCUGCCACCAGGCCGGGCGUGGCCGGUCCUACAUCCAGGGAGCGGGUGGCGAAGAUGAACCAAACCCGGGCGGUGACCCUGCAGCCACCUGCAGCUCCGUGUCCUCCAUCCAGCCUCAGCAGUGGACCUUCAUCAGUGAGGAAGUCGUCGUCUUCAGCUGGAGCUGCCACCAGGCCGGGCGUGGCCAGUCCUCCAUCCAGGGAGCGGGUGGCGAAGACGAGCCAGAGCCAGGCGACGACAUUGCAGCCGCCUGCAGCUCCGUCUUGUCCAUUCAGCCUCAGCGAUGGACCUUCAUCAGUGAGGAGGACAUCGUCGUCUUCAGUUCCUCUCUGCAGUGCUCCGCCUUCGCCAGCCUGGGCCGCACCGAUCGCCCGGCAGGACAGGUUGUGGGACGAGGUCGUGUCCCGGCAGCACCAGUCGGUUCCAGAGCGGAGACGCUUCGUUAAGAAGCUGCAGGUCCUGCUUCCAGCUCCUCCCCUGGUCCCCGCGGACGCCCGGUGCGAGGCGGUCCGGCUGGCCCGGCUGGGCGGAGCUCUGAGGCGCUGCUACCACGCGGAGCUGAGCAUGAUGGGAGUGCGGCCGGGUUUGUGGUUUUAGUCCCUGAAGUCCCUGGUGUUGGGAACCUGCGUCCAGCUGCUGAUUGUGUGUUUCAGGCGAAUCGGACGCGAUGCUGGAGCGGCUGGAGAAGAUGAUGGUGGACGUUUGUGCAGAAGCGGCGCAGCUCAGAACCGGUACGUCUGUUAGUCACGUUUCCAGCAGACGUCCUUAAUAAAAGUGUGUGCCGUAUCGGAAGAAAUCCUCCAUCUCUGGUGGAGGUUAAAGGUCGGCAGGUUGAUGGAUUUGCAGGAUGAAAUUACGGCUUGUUCCACCCACACGCCACUCCUCCACCAGCAGGCUCCGCCCAUCACACGCCAGGCGCUCGUUUAUACACUGAUAACAACAACAUUUACAUUUAUUUCUUAUAUAGCGCAAAAUCACAUACAGUACUGAUGUCCACACAAACCUGUCGGUCAGUCUGUGUGUUGUUGUGUGUGUCUGUGUGUGACGUGUCUGUGUUUUGUGUGCGUGUGACGCGUCUGUGUGUGAUGUUGUUGUUGUGUGACGUGUGUUGUGUGCGUGCUUCACACAGAGCUGAACGCCGUGGACGAGUCUGUGUCUAGAGGGAUGUGUCCCGUCAGGAGGGCGGGCUGGGGCGGUCAGGUGAAGCCCCGCCUCCUUCCUGCUUUGAUCUACCGCAGCCAAUCGGAGCUCCAGGAGGUGGAGCUGCUGCGCAUGAGGGUGGAGCUCCUGGAGCAGGAGCUGCACCUGCAGCAGGUGAGACUAAAGCAGGAAGUAUUUUCUACGUUUACUCGCCGGAACUGCUGCAUCAAUGUAUGAUGGGUGUGUUCCCUCAGGUCCUCUCUGAAGCCCUAAGCCCCGCCCAGUCGCCUCCGUCCUCUCUGAGCGCCGCCCGUCUGCGGGGCCUUUACUCCCUGCUUGCUGAAGGCGGGUCCCGCUUUCCUUCUCUGGUGCUGGACUCCAGGCCGCAUAUCCCAUAAUCCCCGGCGUCAUGUGAUCCACCGCCUCGCUGUGCUGAAUAAAGGAUUAAACGACUGCUUGUGUUUUGUGGCGUCAGAGCUGCCUUGUGCAGUGCGUCUCGGUGCAUUGUGGGUGUUUGGCAGCGUGCCGGGGUGGGCGGAUGUGGAACUUUUCACCUUCAGGUGCGAGUCGCUGAGUAAGAGCCUGAGGAGGCGGAUCCUGUGAUAACGGCCGCGAGGGGAGGCGGAGCUAUCUUCGCGCCGGAGGGCCGUGCCCACACAGCCAGUGAGUCACGCUGCUCUGUGUGGAGGAGUGUGUGAACUCGGCGCCACCUGUUGGACAGUCUGGACCCGCCCACACACACCGGUUCUCCCGUCAGGGUGCAGAACGGAGAGGCCUGAACUGCUGUAUUUAGACCCUGAAAAUGGUUCUAGAUGUUGCCAUGGAGCUUCAUCAUGAUAUUCUCAAAUCCAUGUGUAAACUGGAACUCUCGUUUCGGUUAUACGCCAGUGACCUUUAACCCC